UUUUCUUUUGCGUGUGUGUUAUUUUAAAAAACCUAGAAGAGGGAGAGGAGCCUGCCAAGGCCCAAGGACCAGCCGGCCCCCCAACCCUAGCAAGCCCGUGUGCCCGAUUCCCUCGUCCUCCCCGUGCGUCGUUUCCUCCUCCUCCCGAUCUUGUCCCAUCUCCCUCUCCCCCGAUUCCCCUCUCCUCCACCUAGGUCCCCGGAGUCGUGCUCGCAUCCCCU
Molecule: long non-coding RNA, 221 nt
Filed under: Hordeum vulgare
Lineage: Eukaryota; Viridiplantae; Streptophyta; Magnoliopsida; Poales; Poaceae
Description: long non-coding RNA (HVUL_LNC015851)
Source: RNAcentral